GGGUCAUUAGCUCAAUUGGUAGAGCAUCCGACUCUUAAUCGGCAGGUUGAAGGGUCCAGUCCUUCAUGACCCACCA
This is a transfer RNA of 76 nucleotides. It matches the Rfam family "tRNA". From Rfam's summary of the family: Transfer RNA (tRNA) molecules are approximately 80 nucleotides in length. Their secondary structure includes four short double-helical elements and three loops (D, anti-codon, and T loops). Further hydrogen bonds mediate the characteristic L-shaped molecular structure. tRNAs have two regions of fundamental functional importance: the anti-codon, which is responsible for specific mRNA codon recognition, and the 3' end, to which the tRNAs corresponding amino acid is attached (by aminoacyl-tRNA synthetases). tRNAs cope with the degeneracy of the genetic code in two manners: having more than one tRNA (with a specific anti-codon) for a particular amino acid; and 'wobble' base-pairing, i.e. permitting non-standard base-pairing at the 3rd anti-codon position.